This 439-nucleotide ribosomal RNA is filed under the name uncultured bacterium. RNAcentral describes it as "bacterial SSU rRNA". It matches the Rfam family "Bacterial small subunit ribosomal RNA", at positions 959 to 1397 of the family's 1533-position model. The record is from RNAcentral.
ACGCGAUGAACCUUACCAGGUCUUGACAUCCUCUGACACUCCUAGAGAUAGGACGUUCCCCUUCGGGGGACAGAGUGACAGGUGGUGCAUGGUUGUCGUCAGCUCGUGUCGUGAGAUGUUGGGUUAAGUCCCGCAACGAGCGCAACCCUUGAUCUUAGUUGCCAGCAUUAAGUUGGGCACUCUAAGGUGACUGCCGGUGACAAACCGGAGGAAGGUGGGGAUGACGUCAAAUCAUCAUGCCCCUUAUGACCUGGGCUACACACGUGCUACAAUGGAUGGUACAAAGGGCAGCAAAGCGGUGACGCCUAGCGAAUCCCAUAAAACCAUUCUCAGUUCGGAUUGUAGGCUGCAACUCGCCUACAUGAAGCUGGAAUCGCUAGUAAUCGCGGAUCAGCAUGCCGCGGUGAAUACGUUCCCGGGCCUUGCACACACCGCCCGU